CAGCCGCCGCGGUAACGCGAAGGGGGCUAGCGUUGCUCGGAAUGACUGGGCGUAAAGGGCGCGUAGGCGGUUUUGACAGUCAGAUGUGAAAUUCCUGGGCUUAACCUGGGGGCUGCAUUUGAGACGUCAAGACUAGAGUGUGAGAGAGGGUUGUGGAAUUCCCAGUGUAGAGGUGAAAUUCGUAGAUAUUGGGAAGAACACCGGUGGCGAAGGCGGCAACCUGGCUCAUUACUGACGCUGAGGCGCGAAAGCGUGGGGAGCAAACAGGAUUAGAUACCCGGGUAGUCCCUGUCUCUUAUAC
Molecule: ribosomal RNA, 301 nt
Filed under: uncultured bacterium
Lineage: Bacteria
Description: partial 16S ribosomal RNA
Rfam family: Bacterial small subunit ribosomal RNA
Source: RNAcentral